CGCGCGUGGCACGACGGGAACUAUGCCCAGUUAGGGAGCGUACAUUGGCUACCUCACAAGCGGGAGCGGGAGACGGUUGGACAUGGAUCCGAAGAAACCCCAGCUUCCUCGCGGGGCCUUUUCGCUGCCUCCUCUUAACCCGCAGCCGGCCCGCAGCCGCCCCCCGGCCAUGCGUGGCCCUCUGGCCAAACUGUUCCAGGCC
Molecule: long non-coding RNA, 202 nt
Organism: Myotis davidii
Lineage: Eukaryota; Metazoa; Chordata; Mammalia; Chiroptera; Vespertilionidae
Exons: 2
Source: RefSeq, a predicted model, not a curated record